Anguilla rostrata (American eel) is the source of this 1728-nucleotide long non-coding RNA. RefSeq lists it as uncharacterized. NCBI's taxonomy places the organism in Eukaryota, Metazoa, Chordata, Actinopteri, Anguilliformes, Anguillidae. The transcript has 2 exons. The record is from RefSeq and is a predicted model, not a curated record.
GCCCCCCUACCCAAGCGCCUGCCCCCCCUACCCAAGCGCCUGCCCCCCCUACCCAAGCGUACUUCACAUUUCCACCCGACACUUUUCGGGUUGAGCUCUUAGCGCCACCAUGCCAGCACCCCCGCAGGGCCGGCCCGUGGCAUAAACGGUCUGUGCAGUUGCUUAGGGCCACAACCGCUAGGGGGGGGGGCACAUGACCACGAGGCGGGGGGCACACGAUCCAAUGUUUAUCUAAAGUAAAUAACGUUAUUUUCGCAAUUUCGUUAUUCAUCCCCUAUCGCGGAACUAGCGGUAUGAAUUUGAAACGGAAUGGCAACCGAACAUUUCAUAGCAAUGUAAUGUAAGGAGGAUUUUACCAAGUGAACCUCCCCACCCCCACCUCCCCACCAAAAUCCUAGGGCCGGCCCCGCACACCCGUCUCAGUGCCAGUGUGUACCACCGCCUGCUUCCUCAGAAAUGACAUGUAACCCACUAUAUUUGGACUUUUUCAGGAAAUACAUUCAUCACCAUUCCAGUGUACAGCAGUGUAUUUUUAAAUUGACAUUGACUGCUAAAUCUGAAAGUGGAACCAGUUUGUGUGUGUGUGUGUGCGUGUGUGUUCGCCCAUGUGCUCUGUGGAAUUGGCCUACGCUUGGAAGUGGAAGUGUUUUGCAGUGUUUUUCAUUUCAGUUUCUGUUAUUAUUGCAACGUAAAGAACCUUAUAUUUCUUAAAGCCUGCAGGUGAUAUCGAACUUGUGCGACCUUGGGGCCAGAGGGACAGGUGUUCAGUGAUUCUGAAUAAGAGGCCUGUGUUUGCAGUUUGAUCCCUGACAAUGUGUCACGAGCACUCUUCCCUUUUGGGAAUGGAACAUGUUGACUUGUUUAAAUGUACAAUACAUUAUCAGGACAUUGCAGCGCUGCAGCGUAUGGACAAAUAUGCAGUCAUGACACAUUGUAAUAUAUUACACUUCUGUGCAAUAUAUAUAUAUAUAUAUAUAUAUAUAUACAUAUAUGGUAAGAAUGUGUUUUGGUAAGAGUAUAUUUCAGGGUUGUGCCUGCUUGUUUGUCCUCCUCUGUCCCCUGUGGUUCCCUGGUUAUUGCCCUGUUAGUGUUGCUGUUGCACUGUUGGCCCAGUGAGUUUUUAAUGUGGUGCAUUUUAAGGUGAUGUAAUAAGGUCCUGGAGACAAGUACCUGCGCGUAUCUGCAACGCUGUGACCAAAACGUGUGAUCAGAGCAUUCCUGGAUUUUCUGCUGCUUUUUUUUUUAUUAUUUUUUUUUUUUUAUUAAGCUUUUUAUUUAUUUGCAUGUUUCCCGUUAGCAUGCGCGCUAAGAACAAAAUGGCGGAAAACCUUGACCCUCUUUUAGAGAGUCAGAGCGUAGCCCCUACCAACGUCCCUGCUGCUGCAAGAAUACUCCAUUCUGACUUCAGCUUUUGGUUCUUUUUUGGGGGCAUUUUGACUUACAUAAUAAUAAACGCCUCUUAAAAUACUUUAGGGGGAGAGUUGGGCUGCCACGAACCACAAAAUGUGUGGACUUAGCCUCUAUAUGGAGGAUACUGUCCAAGAGCCACUCCUAUUGUGGCAUCACAAUCCAGAGUUCUACAGUGAUUCUAGGAUUAGGGCAAGGGUGUUAUUCCCAUGGCAACGAAAGCAGACGCUUCAGUUAAGAUUUUGUCGUUUGUAGAAGUUUUUUUAUAACUUCAAUCAAGGGGUUUCAAUUCUAUUUAAAUAUAUUUGUGAGGUUUUUUUU